Molecule: ribosomal RNA, 3080 nt
Filed under: Myopa occulta
Lineage: Eukaryota; Metazoa; Arthropoda; Insecta; Diptera; Conopidae
Description: eukaryotic LSU rRNA
Rfam family: Eukaryotic large subunit ribosomal RNA
Source: RNAcentral
GAGUCUAACAUAUGUGCAAGUCAUUGGGAUUAAUUUAAUUAAACCCAAAGGCGUAAUUAACUUAAAUUAUUUUAUAAUGGGAUUAGUUUUUAAUCUAUAGAUUAUUAAUUCAAUCCCAGGGCGUUCUAUAUAGUUAUGUUUGAAUAAUAUUUAUAUUAUUUAUAAACCUCUAACUGGAGCGUACCUUGAGCAUAUAUGCUGUGACCCGAAAGAUGGUGAACUAUACUUGAUCAGGUUGAAGUCAGGGGAAACCCUGAUGGAAGACCGAAACAGUUCUGACGUGCAAAUCGAUUGUCAGAAUUGAGUAUAGGGGCGUAAGACUAAUCGAACCAUCUAGUAGCUGGUUCCCUCCGAAGUUUCCCUCAGGAUAGCUGGUGCAUUUAAAGAUUAUGUAAAAUAAUCCUAUCUGGUAAAGCGAAUGAUUAGAGGCCUUAGGGUCGAAACGAUCUUAACCUAUUCUCAAACUUUAAAUGGGUAAGAACCUCACCUUUCUUGAUAUGAAGGUUGAGGUUGUGAUAUAAUGUGCCCAGUGGGCCACUUUUGGUAAGCAGAACUGGCGCUGUGGGAUGAACCAAACGUAAUGUUACGGUGCCCAAAUUAACAACUCAUGCAGAUACCAUGAAAGGCGUUGGUUGCUUAAAACAGCAGGACGGUGGACAUGGAAGUCGUAAUCCGCUAAGGAGUGUGUAACAACUCACCUGCCGAAGCAACUAGCCCUUAAAAUGGAUGGCGCUCAAGUUGUAUACCUAUACAUUACCGCUAAAGUAAAUGAUUUAUAUUCAAUUUCGGUUGAAUUUUAAAUUUUGAAACUUUAGUGAGUAGGAGGGUACAAUGGUGUGCAUAGAAGUGUUUGGCGAAAGCCUGCAUGGAGCCGCCAUUGGCACAGAUCUUGGUGGUAGUAGCAAAUAAUCGAAUGAGACCUUGGAGGACUGAAGUGGAGAAGGGUUUCGUGUGAACAGUGGUUGAUCACGAGUUAGUCGGUCCUAAGUUCAAGGCGAAAGCCGAAAAUUUUCCAGUUAUAAUUAAAAAUAUAUUAUAAAAUAUUGUUAUUAAACACUGGAUUUUUUUUUGAACGAAAGGGAAUACGGUUCCAAUUCCGUAACCUGUUGAGUAUCCGUUUGUUAUUAAAAAUGGGCCUUGUGCUCAUCCUGGUAACAGGAACGACCAUAAAGAAGCCGUCGAGAGAUAUCGGAAGAGUUUUCUUUUCUGUUUUAUAGUCGUACUACCAUGGAAGUCUUUCGAAGAGAGAUAUGGUAGAUGGACUAGAAGAGCAUGACAUUUACUGUUGUGUCGAUAUUUUCUCCUCGGACCUUGAAAAUUUAUGGUGGGGUCACGCAAACUUCUCAACAGGCCGUACCGAUAUCCGCAGCUGGUCUCCAAGGUGAAGAGUCUCUAGUCGAUAGAAUAAUGUAGGUAAGGGAAGUCGGCAAAUUAGAUCCGUAACUUCGGGAUAAGGAUUGGCUCUGAAGAUUGAGAUAGUCGGGCUUGAUUGGGAAGCAAUAAUAUGGUUUAUGUACUCGUUCUGGAUAAAUAGAGAUUUUCGGAUCUUGUUCCCCGGAUAGUAGUUACGUAACCAAUUGUGGAACUUUCUUGCUAAAAUUUUUAUAGAAUUAUCGAAAGAUAUAUAAUAUUUAAAUUAUAACGAUUAUCAAUUAACAAUCAAUUCAGAACUGGCACGGACUUGGAGAAUCCGACUGUCUAAUUAAAACAAAGCAUUGUGAUGGCCCUAGCGGGUGUUGACACAAUGUGAUUUCUGCCCAGUGCUCUGAAUGUCAACGUGAAGAAAUUCAAGUAAGCGCGGGUCAACGGCGGGAGUAACUAUGACUCUCUUAAGGUAGCCAAAUGCCUCGUCAUCUAAUUAGUGACGCGCAUGAAUGGAUUAACGAGAUUCUCGCUGUCCCUAUCUACUAUCUAGCGAAACCACAGCCAAGGGAACGGGCUUGGAAAAAUUAGCGGGGAAAGAAGACCCUCCUGAGCUUGACUCUAAUCUGGCAGUGUAAGGAGACAUAAGAGGUGUAGCAUAAGUGGGAGAUAAUAACGCUAAUAACGUUUUAUCGCCAAUGAAAUACCACUACUCUUAUUGUUUCCUUACUUACUUGAUUUAAGUGGAACGUGUAUCAUUUCCUAGCCAUUAUACGGAUAUAUUUUAUAUAUAUCUUAUGGUAUUGGGUCUUGAUGCAAGCUUCUUGAUCAAAGUGCCACGAGUUUGUUAUAUAAUUGUAAACAAAUUUUAAUAAAAUGAUAUUAUUUCGAUGAUAUUGUUAUAAUUAAAAUAUGGUAUAACUCCAAUUACUCAGGCAUGAUCCAAUUCAAGGACACUGUUUGGUAGGGAGUUUGACUGGGGCGGUACAUCUCUCAAAUAAUAACGGAGGUGUCCCAAGGCCAGCUCAGUGCGGACAGAAACCACACAUAGAGCAAAAGGGCAAAUGCUGACUUGAUCUCGGUGUUCAGUACACACAGAGACAGCAAAAGCUCGGCCUAUCGAUCCUUUUGGUUUAAAGAGUUUUUAACAAGAGGUGUCAGAAAGUUACCAAAGGGAUAACUGGCUUGUGGCGGCCAAGCGUUCAUAGCGACGUCGCUUUUUGAUCCUUCGAUGUCGGCUCUUCCUAUCAUUGUGAAGCAAAAUUCACCAAGCGUUGGAUUGUUCACCCAUGCAAGGGAACGUGAGCUGGGUUUAGACCGUCGUGAGAUAGGUUAGUUUUAUCCUCCUAAUGACUAAUAUUGUUGCAACAGCAUUCCUGCGUAGUACGAGAGGAACCGCAGGUACGGACCAAUGGCACAAUACUUGUUCGAGCGAACAGUGGUAUGACGCUACGUCCGUUGGAUUAUGCCUGAACGCCUCUAAGGUCGUAUCCGUGCUGGACUGCAAUGAUAAAAAUGGGGCAAUUGCUUUGUAUGGCUUCUAAACCAUUUAAAGUUUAUUUAUAAACGACAAUGGAUGUGAUGCCAAUGUUACUAUUAACAUAGCAAAUUCGGGAGGAUUAAAUAUCACUUGAAUGCCGCGCUAGUUAAUUGUUAAAACAUUAUUUAAUACAAUGACAAUGCCUAGAAUCAAUUGUAAACGACUUUUGUAACGGGCA